RNAcentral lists this long non-coding RNA (1786 nucleotides) under Gossypium barbadense (sea-island cotton). RNAcentral describes it as "long non-coding RNA (GBAR_LNC001936)". The record is from RNAcentral. Lineage: Eukaryota; Viridiplantae; Streptophyta; Magnoliopsida; Malvales; Malvaceae.
UUGCCUCUUUGCCUUCUCCAUUAUUUGGAUCACCAUCAACCUUACCACUCUCCUAAUCUCCCACACCUCCACUGCUCACCAUCUCCUCCUCCCAACAACACCAAUUUUCACUCUCGCCCCCUCCCUAAACUGCACCACUCACAUCCCUUUAAAACAUCCAAUCCCUUCUCUUGAUUCCCACACCGUCUUUAACCCUAAAUACUACAACUUACACUGCCCACCACCAUUACACUAACCACACAACCUCAAAGCACCACUCGAUUCCCAUACCCACCACGAUCGUCCCCCAACCCAUUACCCGAUUCCAUCUUCUAGCCCCAAUCUUGUCAAAGACUCACCUAACCCAUCAUGAAAACCUAAUCAAAAUUCAACCAAUAAGCUCUAUAAAAACAAUCAAUCUUCAAAGAGAGAGGAGGCUUCAAAUCUAGCGCAAACUGGAGAAAGAAAGGGAGGCUCUAGAUUAGUUUACAAGGAUAGGAGUAAUCAAGGAAAAGGGAAGGGGUAAGGAAAAAAAUUAUUUAUGAAUUUUAAUAAUUUUUACCUAAAAAAUAGUAAAGGGAAAUUUUUUAUCAAGUCCUUAUUUUGCUUUUUAAGUAUGUUCCACAAUGCCACACUUCUAUGUUUUAAAUUAGCGGUGUUAGAUUGGAGUACCAAAAUAAUAGACGGAACAAAAGUACAAGUAUUACAUUGAACAAUUGAAAAACAUAACUACCACAAUGAAAGAUUUGGUAGAGUACAGGGGUAAUUUUUGCUAUUAUCCCAAAAUUAAAUAUACUUUUAACUAUAUAUAAUGAUAAUAAAAGAUAUAUAAACGUUCUGCAAUCAAAUUUUUAUAUUAAACUUGACAUUUACAAAUUUCAAAAUAUUUCAAAAAAAAAUAUUUUCGUUGAAUCUGAAAAAUUAUUUUUUAACAAACAUAAUUUUGAAAAUGAUUUUUUGGUAUAAAAAUAAAUUAAGUCAUGCCUAUAAAAAUAGCAAACUUAAGGCUUCUACCAUCUUCCACUAUUAUCUGGUAGAUAUUCUAAUGUGGUGGAUAAUCAAAAAUAACCAAACGAUCUAUUUUGUCUUCAUCUACUUUAGCUAAAUAAUCAAUAACUUGAUUCUCAUUCUGAAUGCACCGAAAUUUAACUUAUCGAUUCUUGGAGCACCAUAUAUCAUUCUAAUCUCAUCAAUGUUACUUACUGCUGCUAGAUUGUUUCGAACAACUUUCCAAUUCUACUUGUCUAAAGCAUCGACCCCAAGUUAGUUUCAGUCCUUCUAGGACAGCCCAAGCCUCUCACCACCUCACCUAUUGCCGCCCUUGAUCUGCUUCUUAACACUGAACCAUCCCUGUUGAUCUUAACCCAUCGAGGAGGAGCCGGUGGUUGCCAUCUUUUUACCGUCAUGGACUUGAAAAUGAUAUUAAAAUUGGUGAAAAAGCUAUGAAAUCAUUUGUUUCCAUUUUUUUUCAAAACCUAUGGAAUCAUGUGUUAAUCAAGAAGUGAUGUUAUCUUUAAUAGCUAAUGUUUUUUUAUUCUCCUCUACCCAAUAGAGAAAAAGCCAGAAAAAGAAAAAGGUGUUACUGUCAAUCUAUCAAGAUUCUGGGAAUAAAAAUCUAUGGUUUUAAAUUAAGUUUGAGAAAGUUUUUUCUUUUUAAUAAAUAUUUAAUCAAAGUGGCCUGAAAAAUGAAAUUUGAAUGUUGGCCACCACUUCUUGUCGUCGUUUUGACAGCAACUGCAGCAUCCUGUUUUAGACUUUUGAUUUUGAAGUCAAAAUUAUCGUUUUGUGAAUUUCGAUUCACUGUGAA